This 410-nucleotide ribosomal RNA is filed under the name uncultured bacterium. RNAcentral describes it as "bacterial SSU rRNA". It matches the Rfam family "Bacterial small subunit ribosomal RNA", at positions 541 to 949 of the family's 1533-position model. The record is from RNAcentral.
UUAUCCGGAAUUACUGGGUGUAAAGGGAGCGCAGGCGGGAUAGCAAGUCAGCUGUGAAAACUAUGGGCUCAACCCAUAAAUUGCAGUUGAAACUGUUAUUCUUGAGUGGAGUAGAGGCAAGCGGAAUUCCGAGUGUAGCGGUGAAAUGCGUAGAUAUUCGGAGGAACACCAGUGGCGAAGGCGGCUUGCUGGGCUCUAACUGACGCUGAGGCUCGAAAGUGUGGGGAGCAAACAGGAUUAGAUACCCUGGUAGUCCACACUGUAAACGAUGAUUGCUAGGUGUGGGGGGUCUGACCCCCUUCCGUGCCGGAGUUAACGCAAUAAGCAAUCCACCUGGGGAGUACGGCCGCAAGGUUGAAACUCAAAGGAAUUGACCGGGACCCGCACAAGCAGUGGAUUAUGUGGUUUAA